CUUCUCGUAGGAGCUUCCUCCAUCGACCCUUGGUGGUGGUUUUGGACGAUUCACACUGGAGCAAAGUCAACUCACGGUGAACAGUGUGUUUAAGCUUGUGGCGGCGAUGUAGGCCGAGUUGGCUUGAACCCCAGGUACUUGACAGAGUUGUGUUGAGCGGAUUGGGACAAUUGUGCCUAUCUUGGUUAGCAUGUGAAGACGCAGUGGAAUUCAGAGGUUUGUUGUGUGGCAACCCGGUGCACUAUUCGAUGGAGUAUGAGUUAAUCCUACAGGUCAGGGAAAUUGUGGCUGAAGCUGAGACCUUGUAGCAGCUGAUUGGGUAGGAAGCUAAUUUUGUGGCAUUACUGUUGUUAAGACUUCCGCUAUGUAGUAAGCUCUAAGGAGUAGUUACUUAUUAUUUUGUUGACGCAAUUUAAUUUGUAAUUUUGUAAACUUUGUGUGAUGUAAUAUGUGACUCUAAAGAACGAGUCUGUAUUUACAUUGAGGGUUCAGAACAUCGUUGGUUGCCCUUGUUUAAAAAAAAAAAAACUGUCUUAGCUGUUUAGUUUGAUGUCUGAACCAUCAAGCCUGGAGUUUAUGGG
Long non-coding RNA from Rosa chinensis, 581 nucleotides. RefSeq lists it as uncharacterized. Lineage: Eukaryota; Viridiplantae; Streptophyta; Magnoliopsida; Rosales; Rosaceae. The transcript is spliced from 3 exons. The record is from RefSeq and is a predicted model, not a curated record.